CACGCCGUUGCCUGCUUCUGUCUCACAUGGUCCAACCCUGUCUGUCAAUGAAUUGAAGGUCCCAGUGUCCACAUUUCCCACUUUUAAAAGGACACCCAUCACUGGAUCAAGACCUACCCUAAUCCUGUACGGUCUCAUCGUCACUACCUGUGUGUUCACCUUAUUUCUGGAUAAGGAUGUAUUUGACAUGAAAUAUGGGGGGUACAACACUGAGCCCAGAGUAUGCGUAUGCCUGUGCCGUCUAUAUCUUAUCAUCAAUUCAGUGGUCCUGGCUUCCACGUGUAACUCCAAAGUCUCCCCACCAGGGAUCAGAUUCUAUCGCCAGCAGAUUCGGGGUUGCCAGCAAGCCCCUCUGUGUCCCUCACGCCACCGAUUUCGGCUGUCUCGGUUGUUGAUGUUCUCUGGGCCUUCAUCUCAGAACCGCAGAGGGAAGGGCUCUGGGACAUGUCAUCUCCCGCCUCACCAUGCUCACGACAUCCAGUAGAACAAGCCAGACACUACCUUUAAUCUUCAUGCCACAAGGUUUCUCCUCUCGAUGCGUCAUGACUGAUGAAUAACCAAGAUAAAGGGCAAUCAGGAGAGGUCAAAAUAAGAACAUAAUCCAAGGACACUGUCAGCUUUCCAACAUCCCUGCACAUUUACUAAUUUCUGUGGGGAACACAGGUGUGGUAUACAGCAGCAACAAGCAAAUGUAAAGAUACAUCGUUCAAUCAUAAAGACUGAAAGGAAAGGUAGAUACAGAGUCAGAAUUUCCAAUAUCCACAAGAGAGGACAAUAUAUAUACACAAAUCACUUAAUACCCCUGGGGCCAAAGACACUGUAAUGGAAAUGAGAUAAGUUUUAUAUAACUGUACAAUUUUUUUCAUUUGUGAAAUAACAAAAUAUAUUUCAUACAAAGAGUGCGUAGAGGAAUAUUUUAUUUUAGGUAUUCCUGUCAGCAACAUGCAGGGGAAACGAAUACAACAGAGAUCCCUGUUAUGGAUGAGGCACUUACGAGGCACAACCGUGCUUGUAACAAAUAAAGACUGCUGUCCAGCCCUGAGUUUCUAUGUA
RNAcentral lists this long non-coding RNA (1053 nucleotides) under Ursus maritimus (polar bear). RNAcentral's name for it is "lncRNA (ENSUMAG00000007162.1)". The record is from RNAcentral. Lineage: Eukaryota; Metazoa; Chordata; Mammalia; Carnivora; Ursidae.